UACGUAGGGGGCAAGCGUUGUCCGGAAUCAUUGGGCGUAAAGCGCGUGUAGGCGGCCCGAUAAGUCCGCUGUGAAAGUCCAGGGCUCAACCCUGGAAUGCCGGUGGAUACUGUCGGGCUCGAGUCCGGAAGAGGAGAGUGGAAUUCCUGGUGUAGCGGUGAAAUGCGCAGAUAUCAGGAAGAACACCCGUGGCGAAGGCGGCUCUCUGGGACGGUACUGACGCUGAGACGCGAAAGCGUGGGGAGCGAACAGG
This 253-nucleotide ribosomal RNA is filed under the name uncultured bacterium. Its description in RNAcentral is "partial 16S ribosomal RNA". It matches the Rfam family "Bacterial small subunit ribosomal RNA", at positions 524 to 776 of the family's 1533-position model. The record is from RNAcentral.